AGAAAGUGCAAGGACCCCUAGACCUUCAUGAUUAACUCUGGACACUGACAACUCAUUACCUGACGUCAAGGUAAACUAUCGUGGCGGCCAUAUUGAAAAUCAGAUUCAAACCUCUUGAAUCAAGCAAGGUGUCAUCAAUGGUGGGAACAAGCAUGUGAAAAGUCACACUUUAGUGUCACACUUCAGUGAAGUGAAUUCAGUCAGUGCUAUCAGUCAGCGUGGUGUACGCUGGAGGAAGACACAGUGAUGGGUAUGGU
Long non-coding RNA from Haliotis rufescens (red abalone), 257 nucleotides. RefSeq lists it as uncharacterized. The transcript is spliced from 3 exons. Lineage: Eukaryota; Metazoa; Mollusca; Gastropoda; Lepetellida; Haliotidae. The record is from RefSeq and is a predicted model, not a curated record.